This 212-nucleotide long non-coding RNA is filed under the name Lathyrus oleraceus (garden pea). RNAcentral describes it as "Pisum sativum (pea) long non-coding RNA (PSAT_LNC000603)". The record is from RNAcentral. Lineage: Eukaryota; Viridiplantae; Streptophyta; Magnoliopsida; Fabales; Fabaceae.
UUGUAGGAGGAUCUCUGAGGGCGAUCAAAUUUGCCUUUAGCAUUCCCUGCAGUGCCUGUGCCAAGGUCAUAUUGAUCCUGGUGAACUGCCUUCUUGGCCGGUCCUGUUUGGGCUGGAAGUUUUGAGAUGGUGGUGCUGCAAUCGUAACUGCUCCAAUGUCGUGGUCCCGGUUUUUCUUGUUACGACUCUUUUGACCGUACACAGCAUUUGAU